RNAcentral lists this transfer RNA (87 nucleotides) under bacterium. RNAcentral describes it as "tRNA-Leu". It matches the Rfam family "tRNA". From Rfam's summary of the family: Transfer RNA (tRNA) molecules are approximately 80 nucleotides in length. Their secondary structure includes four short double-helical elements and three loops (D, anti-codon, and T loops). The record is from RNAcentral.
GCCGGGGUGGUGGAACUGGUAGACGCAGGGGACUCAAAAUCCCCCGGGCUUUUGCCCGUGCGGGUUCGACUCCCGCCCCCGGCACGA